This 254-nucleotide unclassified non-coding RNA is filed under the name Hevea brasiliensis (rubber tree). Lineage: Eukaryota; Viridiplantae; Streptophyta; Magnoliopsida; Malpighiales; Euphorbiaceae. The record is from RNAcentral.
GUUUUUUGUUUUUCGUUUUUCGUUUUUCUAUGGUGUCUCCAUGUUUACUAAAAUUGACCGGUGUACGAACUGCGGAGUUAUGUACCAUAGCAACCAUUAGAUUGGUAUAUCAAUACAACUGUACAACAAUUAUUAUGAAAAUUUAUAAUUGGUGGCUCUCGGCUAACAGACUAUCAAUAUUAGAUUGCUGUUUUUCUUGAUUGAAGGGAAGGGGUUUGUAUUAUUUAUGGCCAACCAAAAAAGGGACUAUGAAA